This 235-nucleotide ribosomal RNA is filed under the name uncultured bacterium. RNAcentral's name for it is "partial 16S ribosomal RNA". It matches the Rfam family "Bacterial small subunit ribosomal RNA", at positions 118 to 351 of the family's 1533-position model. The record is from RNAcentral.
UGAGCAAUCUGCCCUUCUCUUCGGAAUAAGCGUUGGAAACGACGUCUAAUGCCGAAUACGACCUCCUUUCGCAUGAUCGGAGGUGGAAAGCUCCGGCGGAGAAGGAUGAGCUCGCGGCCUAUCAGCUAGUUGGUGUGGGUAAUGGCCCACCAAGGCGACGGACGGGUAGCCGGCCUGAGAGGGUGACCGGCCACACUGGGACUGAGACACGGCCCAGACUCCGUACGGGAGGNAG